This is a long non-coding RNA of Panthera uncia (snow leopard), 694 nucleotides long. RefSeq lists it as uncharacterized. The transcript is spliced from 2 exons. Lineage: Eukaryota; Metazoa; Chordata; Mammalia; Carnivora; Felidae. The record is from RefSeq and is a predicted model, not a curated record.
GGAAAAUAGUCUUGGAAGGGCCAUUCUUGGACCUUUGUGGGGGCACAUUAGCGUCAUAAGGGCUCUGACAAGUCCUGCAGGAAGGACACUGUCUCAAGUUUUUAUGCUCAGGGAACUCCUUUGGUCAGAACCCCCACGGGCACCCUACAGAACAGUCCAUGGCAUUCUCUUGGGGGUUGCUAGGCGAGGAGGACUCGAACAAGAUGAAUCCCAGUUACGUCCACCAGACACAGCCUUCCCAGACGGGCGUCCCACGGUACAUCGGUCAGCUGUGGCCGUGCGACAAACCACCCGGAACCUCGGCGGCACCGAACAAGAAGCAUUGGUUUCUUACUCACGGCCCAUCGGGCUUCAGCAAGAUCGAGGCUGGACCCGGCAGAUCUUGGCCUCCCCCUGAGGGCCGGGCCCCGGUCUGCCCCAUGCGUCCCUCUCGCUCUCUUUGGACGCGGCUACCCAAGGCGUGUUGUCCCCGUGAUGGCAGCAGGGCCAGUGGGAAAGCCUCGUGGGCAGGCACAUUUGAAGGUGCUCAUGGCGUGGUCACCAGCAUCCCUCUGGCCAAAGCAAGUCACGUGGCCAUGUUGGACACCGACAGGUCGCAGAAAGGGAAGUGCGCAUCACCUUGGAGGAGACGGGCAGGGAGAGAAUGUUUUUUGCCCAGUAAUCUCAUCUGUACAUUCUAUAAACUUUAAAAAUA